AUUGAACGCUGGCGGCGUGCCUAACACAUGCAAGUCGAGCGGUAACAGGUGUAGCAAUACAUGCUGACGAGCGGCGGACGGGUGAGUAACGCUUGGGAAUCUGCCUGUUAGUGGGGGACAACCCGGGGAAACUCGGGCUAAUACCGCAUACGCACUACGGUGGAAAGCCGGGGACCGCAAGGCCUGGCGCUAACAGAUGAGCCCAAGUCGGAUUAGCUAGUUGGUAGGGUAACGGCCUACCAAGGCGACGAUCCGUAACUGGUCUGAGAGGACGACCAGUCACACCGGAGCUGAGACACGGUCCGGACUCCUACGGGAGGCAGCAGUGGGGAAUAUUGGACAAUGGGCGCAAGCCUGAUCCAGCGAUGCCGCGUGUGUGAAGAAGGCCGUGCGGGGUUGUAAAGCACUUUCAGUAGGGAAGAAAGACCGAGUGCUAAUAUCACUCGGUCUUGACGUUACUUACAGAAGAAGCACCGGCUAACUCCGUGCCAGC
RNAcentral lists this ribosomal RNA (493 nucleotides) under uncultured bacterium. Its description in RNAcentral is "bacterial SSU rRNA". It matches the Rfam family "Bacterial small subunit ribosomal RNA", at positions 29 to 512 of the family's 1533-position model. The record is from RNAcentral.